GUGCUUUUGAGACUGUUUAUUGCAUAGCUUAUGUUUGUUUUUGCUCAACGUUAUUUCAUUUGUUGGUAAACAGCCAUUGUUGCUAUAAAUCCCAAUCUCUCGCUUCUUUCAAGUUCAUCUAUUGCAAACCUUGCCGAUUAUAUUAGCCAUCUGCUUUUAUCUUCACAUUACUCUGGACGAAUGUAAUUUGAAUGGAAAGUGGCUGCACCGAAAUCCUGACGUUGGCUCACUUUCUAGAUAAUACAAACUGAACGAUACAUUCAUCGAAAUAACUGACCCCACAUGAGGAUAUUGGAUGAAACCUCCAAAGGUCUAUUCCGACUAGAAUUCGUAACCAAGUCGUUGGUUUAAGCAACAGUGAGCAUCUUUCAAGCCUUCAAAAUGACCAUUAUUACAAAGAAUGCAGUCUCAAUGGACCCAAGAGAAAUGGAAACGUCUCCUGGGUAUAUGCAUGCAUGUGUAAAUUGCCAAUCCAUCCAUGGAGAUAUACCGGUGCAUUGAAAGGAAGGUUUCGCUAUCCAGCUACUUGUUGACGAUCCAAACGCCACUGUUCUACAUAUUUGGAUGAUAAUGCGAAAGAAUAUUGACGGUGUCUUGAUUAUUUCAAGUAUGACUUCAUUUUUACGACAACGAACCUGAAUUUAUGGACCUCGACUCUUUCGAUGGAUUGACUUGUGAACUAAUAUGAGUACUUGGAAGGGCAUGCGAUGCAUACCAAUCUUUAGUGUCGGAUUUCGGCAGCAAAUGGCAUAUUAAGAAUUGACAUCAAAAUUAGUUUCGUAAGACUUAAUUUCUUGUGAACACUUUGACUUGUUACUCCAAUUUUUGAAUAUUUUAAAAGCGUACAUUCCAAUGAAAUUUAAUUAAAUAUUUGUUUCAAAUAACCUCCAAUUUGAUCUAGAGUUUCAAAAUUUAAAGGUCAAUUUCAUGCUAGUUAUUAUUGGUACUCCUGUUUAUAAAAGCAAUUGCUCAUCUUAAAAUGGUACUUUCUCAGAUUUGCUUCAAAGAAAAUAGUUGAUUUUGAUACCGAUUUAAGCUCCUAAUUUUCAGAGGCUCAAAAUUUAAUUACAAUUAAAUGUUGCUUAAGCAUAAUGAAACGGAUGAAUGUAGGA
Argiope bruennichi is the source of this 1112-nucleotide long non-coding RNA. RefSeq lists it as uncharacterized. NCBI's taxonomy places the organism in Eukaryota, Metazoa, Arthropoda, Arachnida, Araneae, Araneidae. The transcript is spliced from 4 exons. The record is from RefSeq and is a predicted model, not a curated record.